Vitis vinifera (wine grape) is the source of this 1281-nucleotide long non-coding RNA. RefSeq lists it as uncharacterized. NCBI's taxonomy places the organism in Eukaryota, Viridiplantae, Streptophyta, Magnoliopsida, Vitales, Vitaceae. The transcript has 2 exons. The record is from RefSeq and is a predicted model, not a curated record.
AAUAAAAUAUCGGGGUAAUGAUUUUCUCCAAAGAAAAUCAAUUACAAUAAAAAUUAAUUAAAAAUAUAUGUAUUUUUAUAUUGAAUUAUUAAAAUAAGUGAAAUAAAUUUAGAAUAAUAAUCCUAAUAAUUUUAAUUUCAUAAUAUGCAUCAGGACACCAGCCGAAUCAAUGACCCUGACUUCAAUACUUGUUGAGAAAAGAUACUGUGCCUUUAUCGUUUGCCGUGCUGCCAUAAUUAGAGAUAAGCAAGACCCAGUUCCCAUUAAGGGAAGGCAAGGACAUGAAGACAUUGAUUUUCUACUCUCUUUAUGAAGAUUGAUUACGCUGGAAAAUUUGUGGGCAUCCAUCCCAGAAAAUGUAUCUGGAAAGGUUCUUUGCCAUGGUUGGAUCGCUGGGUAUCAUCAAACCCUAUGGUUCAAUGCUAAGCAGGGGAAAAGGCCAAAAAAAAAAUGAAGUUGCAUGCUUAAACAAAUCCAGAGGCUGCAGAAAACACAGCUGAAAAACAGAGCGGAUGUUGAUUUUCUUAGCAAACGUGAUACCAAAUGAUAAAACCCCAACAAGCAGAACUGAAAACUAAAUGCAAGACAGAGAACUUUAUUAUAGAAAAGGAUUAUCAUGUCAGCUUCCUCCAGUCCUCCAACAAAGGGAAGAGAUACAAAGCCUCAAUGAAAAGGUGAGAAGACUCAAACUGUCUAAAGAACCUGCAAAAUCUAACCCUCUCUUCUAAGAGAUGGGUGCCUCAAAAAGACUUCAGAAUGUUAGUUUCGCUCUCUGUAUAUUAUGUUUUUUUUUUCUAAUGUCACAGUUCGAUUCCCCAUGUAUAUUUGUAUCUGCAAAAUUCAUGGUGGGAUCAGUGCAUGACUAUACGUCAUCUUCUCCUGGCUUGUGAAGCUGAUCUUUCCAACUGUGGCCCUCGGAUUUAUCAUCUUCAUCGUACUCCAUGCUGUCUCCUCCAGUACCUGAUACACCUUUAGCAGACCCAGCUAAAUGGAGUGGGCCUUGUGGAGAGCCGGACUGGGAAAUGUUUUUCUUUGAGACGUCUCCAACCUGAACUUGGGGCACCCAUGAUCCAUUUGCAGGAGCAGCUGAAGUGGAUGGGAUCCUCCGGACGUGAAGUCUGUAUUUCUGCAGAGGGACAAGAACUUUUAAGGACGACCCACUAAAGAAAACUGAAAAAGAAAGGCUUCUAUGUUAACACCCACCUGUAAAUGGCUUUUUACUUCAUCGUUAGUGAGACCUUCCACUUGCAUGAGUUCUCGAAUCUGUUUAGGAGUGGCUGC